UACGUAGGGACCAAGCGUUGUUCGGAUUUACUGGGCGUAAAGGGCGCGUAGGCGGCCUUGUCAGUCAGACGUGAAAUCCCCAGGCUUAACCUGGGAACUGCGUCUGAUACUACAAGGCUUGAGUGCGGGAGAGGGAUGUGGAAUUCCAGGUGUAGCGGUGAAAUGCGUAGAUAUCUGGAGGAACACCGGUGGCGAAGGCGGCAUCCUGGACCGACACCGACGUUCAGGCACGAAAGCGUGGGGAGCAAACAGG
RNAcentral lists this ribosomal RNA (253 nucleotides) under uncultured bacterium. Its description in RNAcentral is "partial 16S ribosomal RNA". It matches the Rfam family "Bacterial small subunit ribosomal RNA", at positions 524 to 776 of the family's 1533-position model. The record is from RNAcentral.